CCCGACUGCUAUCGGAUUGAGAUUUAGCCAUGCGAGUCGAACGCUCCCCUGUUGCGGGGGGCGUGGCGUACGGCUCAGUAACACGUAGUCAACCUGCCCUGAAGACACGGACAACCCCGGGAAACUGGGACUAAUCCGUGAUAGGUCAUCUCAUCUGGAAGGAGAGAUGGCUUAAAGGGUCGCGCGGGCUUCUUCCGCGCGUUCGCUUCAGGAUGGGACUGCGUCCGAUCAGGCUGUUGGCGGGGUAAUGGCCCACCAAACCUGUAACCGGUACGGGCCUUGAGAGAGGUGGCCCGGAGAUGGACACUGAGAGAAGGGUCCAGGUCCUACGGGGCGCAGCAGGCGCGAAACCUUCGCAAUGCGCGAAAGCGUGACGAGGUUAAUCCGAGUGGCCUCCGCUGAGGAGGUCUUUUGUCAGCUGUAAAUAGGCGGGCGAAUAAGGGGAGGGCAAGCCUGGUGU
Molecule: ribosomal RNA, 460 nt
Filed under: uncultured archaeon
Lineage: Archaea
Description: bacterial SSU rRNA
Rfam family: Archaeal small subunit ribosomal RNA
Source: RNAcentral